Molecule: non-coding RNA, 30 nt
Filed under: Rattus norvegicus (Norway rat)
Lineage: Eukaryota; Metazoa; Chordata; Mammalia; Rodentia; Muridae
Source: RNAcentral
UCCACAACGAUACCAUGCUCAUCACUAAAU